This is a long non-coding RNA of Quercus lobata, 635 nucleotides long. RefSeq lists it as uncharacterized. The transcript is spliced from 4 exons. NCBI's taxonomy places the organism in Eukaryota, Viridiplantae, Streptophyta, Magnoliopsida, Fagales, Fagaceae. The record is from RefSeq and is a predicted model, not a curated record.
CUGCAGAAGGUUUUUGAAGUUUUCAUGGGGCAGUUCCGACAACUUUUUGGUCUUCAAUCUCACAGUCAUUAUUUUGGUUCCUCUGGCACAUACAGUCUUAGCUAGUGAAAAAGGCUUCUCAGAAUGGUAAAAUAUUUUCUUGAGGCGGCAAACUUGGCUCAAAGGAAUGCCUCUCUUGGACUUUAUGAUGCUUCAGCUGUGUCCUCUAGGCAAAGCAAGAUCUCUGGCAGAAGAUGCAGAAGAUGCAAGAUCUCUAGGCAACCUAAUAUGUAGUUGCAGUAUGAUUGUUUAAUUUUUGUGCAAGAACUUGGUUUUUCAUUCUAGAACAAGAGAAUGGAGAAACCCAAUCUAGACGAAUUGUACCACGUAUUUACCAGUCGCGCAGUAAAAUUCAUCGACUACGGCAUGAUGGGUGAUGGUUCCAAGUCUGAAAGCUGGAAAGAAUUCAAGACAAGUUGUUUAGGGAAUUUCGCGAAGAAUUUGGUGAGGAAGAGCCUGGGCGAAGGUGUAAUGUUCCCUCCAAAUCAACUACUUCCUCUUUUUAUUGUAGGUUAAAGCUUAGUCAUUGCUUUUCUUCUUCUUUUUUAUUGCAAUAUUACUGUGAAUUUUUUGAUUACAAUAUUAUAAUACAACAA